GCGGGUGGGGAGGCAGCGGGUGGGGGCCUGGCGGAGUGAAGCGGUAACAAGAUGGCGACUGAAACGGUGGAGCUCCAUAAGCUGAAGCUUGCUGAACUAAAGCAGGAGUGUCUUGCUCGUGGUUUGGAGACCAAGGGAAUAAAACAAGAUCUCAUCAACAGGCUCCAGGCAUAUCUUGAAGAGCAUGCUGAAGAGGAGGCAAAUGAAGAAGAUGUACUGGGAGAUGAAACAGAGGAAGAAGAACCGAAGCCCAUAGAACUGCCUGUCAAAGAGGAAGAACCUCCUGAAAAAACUGUUGAUGUGGCAGCAGAGAAAAAAGUGGUAAAAAUUACAUCUGAAAUACCACAGACUGAGAGGAUGCAGAAGAGAGCUGAACGAUUCAAUGUACCUGUGAGCUUGGAGAGUAAGAAAGCUGCCAGGGCAGCUAGAUUUGGGAUUUCUUCAGUUCCAUCAAAAGGCCUGUCAUCUGAUGCCAAGCCUAUGGUUAACCUGGAUAAGUUAAAGGAAAGAGCUCAAAGAUUUGGUUUGAAUGUCUCUUCAAUCUCCAGAAAGGGUCCCAGAAAGAGAAGAUGGUUAAUAGUACCUGAUGGAGAAGACUGUGGUUUUGCUGAGUUACUGUUCUGCUACACUUUAACCUUAAAUCUGAUCCUCUUUCCAAAUAUCGUUUGCCUCGCAACUGAAGGGAAUUUCCUUGUUGCCUUGUCUGAGGAUGAUGAGAAGCUGAAAAAGAGGAAGGAGCGAUUUGGGAUUGUCACAAGUUCAGCUGGAACAGGAACCACAGAGGAUACAGAGGCAAAGAAGAGGAAAAGAGCAGAGCGCUUUGGGAUUGCCUGAUGGAAAGCUUUUGAUGCUUUCUAUUCUCCAGUGGUUUCCAUCUCUUCGACUCUUCCUGGUCACAUGUAUACCUAAAUGCACAGUCAUGUGCCUAGGUUCUGCCUUGCAGUGAGGGAGCAUGUACCUCAGGUUCAAGUGCUGGAUUGUGUCAUGUGACCAUCCCAAAACUCAGAGCACCCUAUGGCCAUCUUUGCCCUCUGUCACAUAACUUGAAAACUGCCUGAUGGCCUUUUUGCAAUGGUUCCCUCCAGGAAGCCUUGAUCUCAGUGAAGUCCUUUCCCGGCAUUCCAGUGCCCCUGUCAGCCCCAUACUCCUCAGACACCCUUAACAAACAAAGGCAAUCACGCACACGGUGUAACAAAUACACAAAUAAUAAUUACACUAAUUAUGAUCAGAGGGGCACUGGCCAGGUCCACACACAUCAUAAGGUGGGAGAGGGGAGUACUAGUUCCCACUAGGUUGCUGGGCUGUGCCCCCAAGCCUCUUUACCCCAUGCCUCUUUGGGGGUGAGGAGGACCAGGGGAAUGAGACUUCAACUCAGAUUUAUGUUCAUAAGAGAAAGACCCUCCCCCAAAGGUCUUUAUUUGGUGGCAUUAAAGGGGCAUAUUCUAAGUGUCCCCCAAGUCUAAUGCCCCACCUCUCUAGAAUUUGUAGAGGGAAGUCACCUGAUGCCUACUGCCCAGCCCCCACCCUGUGCCAAGAUCAAGAGACACGGGCAUUUGCCCUUGGAGGAGGCAUCUUCUGUUCUUCACUUCUCUGUUCCUUUCUUUCUACCAAGGAAAUGUGAAUGGUGUUGAUGGUCAGAUGUAUCUUGUUCUCCAAGAUUGGGGCAUAAGGAAUGAUGAAGAAUGGGGCCAGAGAGGAGAGGCUGGGGGUUAGUACAGCUGCUAUCUGGGAGGAGGCAAUUUGAAACACUUAACAGCCCUUGCCCGUUCCGGUACCGAAAUACCUCACUUUUUUACUAUGGGAAUGGGAAUAAGAUGCCAAAACUCACCAAUAUCACCUUUCCAAGGGUGGCCAAAUACCUUUGCCCCUUCCACCAGCUGGGCCAGGCAGGAAAGUCAUGCUCUUGGGAAGAACAAGCCUUCCGGGUCAGCUCUCCAGCUUGGGCUUACUUUAGUUCAGUACUGUUUGCAUCAGACCCGCGACUGCUGGCUCUACUUAGAGUGACUAUUUUGCUGAAGGUUCUUUUCCCCCCUCCUCUCCUGACAUCCUCUAGGCUCUUGCCUGGAGCCAAGAGGUCUGGAGGUGAGGUAUGGAUAGGGUAUGGAUCAGGAGGUUCUCAGCUCCUUGUCUUCAGGCACUGUCCAGCUGGGAGGCAGAGGGGAACUUGUACUCUGAAGCCUGUGACUCCUCUAAGCCUCACAUCUCUUCACCACUACUCUGGUGCCCUGGUUAUCUGUCCCACAGCGAGAGGUAUUUUAUGUCCAUAAAGUGCCCGUGGUAAGUGCUCAGAAUUCAUCUCUUGGCUGUGGCGGGUGCUGCUAUUUCUCAUUCCAUCGAGGGGAAGAAACUGAGGCACAGUGAGUCCAGAGGAGGGUGGAUCAGGAUUGUGGGAGGAAUGAAUAGGCCCAGCUAGUGACCUGGAGUGGCAACCAGUCCCUGCCUGCUUCCUAGCUUUCCAAACCAGGGAGUCUCCAUCCUUCCCAACCUCUGCCCUAACUGGCCUUGUCAGGUGCUUUUCCCCACUUGUAUUGUCCCCUCCCUGCUGCCGGGUACUGCUAGAUUCCAAAAAUAAAAGAUAAAAAUAAUUAUAGACACUCUGCUCCUUUGUUCUACCCCCUUCCACCCUGAGCUUUGGGGUUGGGGGACUAAAAUGUCCCCCUUCCAGAAUCCCUUCCACCUUGGUCUGCUGGCUCUAUUCCCUAGCCCAGAGCAGUGAUUUGGAUUCAAAUGCCCUGUAACCUUCAGCCUCCUUACAACUCCUUUCUUGACCCUUCCCAGACCUGGGGACUCUGGGCUCUCUCUACUCUUCUUUUUAUUGACCUGAAGAUAGAGGCUGGGAGCAGAGGCAUUCCACAGGCUCUUUGGUCUCUCUCUUGGCUGGGGGGAAUUUGGGCAUAAGCAGGCCACACCUGUGCCUAAGUCAGUACUAUGAGGGUAGACCUGAGGGUUAGUUUCGUGGCUCUCAUACAGAUACUGGAUGUUGAGCCCCUCCCGCCC
This is a non-coding RNA of Kogia breviceps (pygmy sperm whale), 2997 nucleotides long. The record is from RefSeq and is a predicted model, not a curated record. Lineage: Eukaryota; Metazoa; Chordata; Mammalia; Artiodactyla; Physeteridae.